Molecule: ribosomal RNA, 202 nt
Filed under: uncultured bacterium
Lineage: Bacteria
Description: partial 16S ribosomal RNA
Rfam family: Bacterial small subunit ribosomal RNA
Source: RNAcentral
AAUGAACGCUGGCGGCGUGGUUAAGACAUGCAAGUCGAACGGUUUUUAUGAAGGGCAACUGGAUAUAAAAGCAGUGGCGAACGGGUGCGUAACACGUGAACAAUCUACCUUCGAAAUCGGGGGAAUAGCUCGCCCGAAAGGCGAAUUAAUACCGGCAUAUGGUUCUGUCUCGCAUGAGAUGGAUACCAAAGUCAGGGACCGC